CAUCAACCUAAAUGACAACAC
RNAcentral lists this unclassified non-coding RNA (21 nucleotides) under Mus musculus (house mouse). RNAcentral describes it as "oocyte_clustered_small_RNA9549". The record is from RNAcentral. Lineage: Eukaryota; Metazoa; Chordata; Mammalia; Rodentia; Muridae.